RNAcentral lists this ribosomal RNA (486 nucleotides) under uncultured bacterium. RNAcentral's name for it is "partial 16S ribosomal RNA". It matches the Rfam family "Bacterial small subunit ribosomal RNA", at positions 30 to 507 of the family's 1533-position model. The record is from RNAcentral.
AUUGAACGCUGGCGGCAUGCCUUACACAUGCAAGUCGAACGGCAGCACGGGUGCUUGCACCUGGUGGCGAGUGGCGAACGGGUGAGUAAUACAUCGGAACAUGUCCUGUAGUGGGGGAUAGCCCGGCGAAAGCCGGAUUAAUACCGCAUACGAUCUACGGAUGAAAGCGUGGGACCUUCGGGCCUCGCGCUAUAGGGUUGGCCGAUGGCUGAUUAGCUAGUUGGUGGGGUAAAGGCCUACCAAGGCGACGAUCAGUAGCUGGUCUGAGAGGACGACCAGCCACACUGGGACUGAGACACGGCCCAGACUCCUACGGGAGGCAGCAGUGGGGAAUUUUGGACAAUGGGCGAAAGCCUGAUCCAGCAAUGCCGCGUGUGUGAAGAAGGCCUUCGGGUUGUAAAGCACUUUUGUCCGGAAAGAAAUCCUUGGCCCUAAUACGGUCGGGGGAUGACGGUACCGGAAGAAUAAGCACCGGCUAACUACGUG